RNAcentral lists this ribosomal RNA (253 nucleotides) under uncultured bacterium. RNAcentral's name for it is "partial 16S ribosomal RNA". It matches the Rfam family "Bacterial small subunit ribosomal RNA", at positions 524 to 776 of the family's 1533-position model. The record is from RNAcentral.
UACGUAGGCAGCGAGCGUUGUUCGGAGUUACUGGGCGUAAAGGGUGUGUAGGCGGUUCUUUAAGUCUGGUGUUAAAGCUAGGGGCUCAACCCCUGUGGUGCACUGGAAACUGGGCAGCUUGAGUGCGGUAGGGGAAGGUGGAAUUCCGAGUGUAGCGGUGAAAUGCGUAGAUAUUCGGAAGAACACCGGUGGCGAAGGCGACCUUCUGGGCCGCAACUGACGCUGAGGCACGAAAGCCUGGGGAGCGAACGGG